GAUGAACGCUGGCGGCGUGCCUAAUACAUGCAAGUCGAGCGAACGGACGAGAAGCUUGCUUCUCUGAUGUUAGCGGCGGACGGGUGAGUAACACGUGGAUAACCUACCUAUAAGACUGGGAUAACUUCGGGAAACCGGAGCUAAUACCGGAUAAUAUUUUGAACCGCAUGGUUCAAAAGUGAAAGACGGUCUUGCUGUCACUUAUAGAUGGAUCCGCGCUGCAUUAGCUAGUUGGUAAGGUAACGGCUUACCAAGGCAACGAUGCAUAGACGACCUGAGAGAGUGAUAGGCCACACUGGAACUGAGACACGGUCCAGACUCCUACGGGAGGCAGCAGUAGGGAAUCUUCCGCAGAGGGCGAGAGCAUGACGGAGCAGCGCCGCGUGAGUGAUGAAGGUCUUCGGAUCGUAAAACUCUGUUAUUAGGGAAGAACAUAUGUGUAAGUAACUGUGCACAUCUUGACGGUACCUAAUCAGAAAGCCACGGCUAACUACGUG
RNAcentral lists this ribosomal RNA (497 nucleotides) under uncultured bacterium. Its description in RNAcentral is "partial 16S ribosomal RNA". It matches the Rfam family "Bacterial small subunit ribosomal RNA", at positions 28 to 507 of the family's 1533-position model. The record is from RNAcentral.